Long non-coding RNA from Notothenia coriiceps (black rockcod), 383 nucleotides. RefSeq lists it as uncharacterized. The transcript has 3 exons. The record is from RefSeq and is a predicted model, not a curated record. NCBI's taxonomy places the organism in Eukaryota, Metazoa, Chordata, Actinopteri, Perciformes, Nototheniidae.
UUCAGCCAGUUAAAGUCGGUGCUGGGUGGAUGCUCGGUGUCUCUCCACCUGGUGGAGGUGAGUCCGGCUCUGAGUGGCAUUCAGGCUCAGACUCUGACGGGGGGGAGCAGCGUGGAGUCGAGCAGCGAGGACGACCUGGUGUUCAGACGAGGGGAAACGAGCGCCGGGCUGCCGGUGUUCUGGUACCGCUGCCUGGAGGACGUGCCUGCAGGCUUCAGCAUCUUUAUCGCUCACGAGUUCUUUGACGCUCUGCCCAUCCACACAUUUCAGAGGACGCCUAAAGGCUGGAGGGAGGUUCUGGUGGACAUCGACCCGGAGAAACAGAACCGGCUGAGGUUCGUCGUCUCUCCGUCUCCCACACCUGCCUCGUCCGCGCUCAUACA